Molecule: small nuclear RNA, 109 nt
Filed under: Fundulus heteroclitus (mummichog)
Lineage: Eukaryota; Metazoa; Chordata; Actinopteri; Cyprinodontiformes; Fundulidae
Description: U1 spliceosomal RNA (ENSFHEG00000000712.1)
Source: RNAcentral
UGGAGAAAAACCUUUGAAAAUUUUAAAUGUGUUCUCCCAUGGUGAGGCUCAGCCAUUGCACUCUGGAAGGCGCUGACCUAUGCGAUUUCUCUAAAUGUGGGAAUCUCGA